UUUUGUUGAUGGUUUCCUUUGCUGUGCAAAAGGUUUUUAUUUUGAGGUAGUCUCAAUAGUUUAUUGUUGCUUUUGUUACCUUUGCCUCAGCAGACAUAGUUAGAAAAAAUGUUGCUACGGCUGAUGUCAGAGCCCUUACUGCCUGUGCUCUGAUGCAGGGUUUUUAUGGUUUCAGGUCUCACAUUUAGGUCUUUCAUC
Herpailurus yagouaroundi (jaguarundi) is the source of this 198-nucleotide long non-coding RNA. RefSeq lists it as uncharacterized. Lineage: Eukaryota; Metazoa; Chordata; Mammalia; Carnivora; Felidae. The record is from RefSeq and is a predicted model, not a curated record. The transcript has 3 exons.